Molecule: non-coding RNA, 786 nt
Filed under: Helota thoracica
Lineage: Eukaryota; Metazoa; Arthropoda; Insecta; Coleoptera; Helotidae
Source: RNAcentral
UUAUGUUUAAAUAUAUUUUGUUAAAAUUAAAGUUUUAUUCUAGCUUAUAAAUUAGGUAUAAUUUUUAUUUUAUAUGUAAGGUUUAAAAUUCAUAUUUAAAUAGUUCAUUUGCAGUAUAACAUUUUAAAUAUUAAGGAUACUUAGAUUUGGAAAUAAUAUUAAAAAUUAACAAAAUUUGUGCCAGCAGUUGCGGUUACACAGAUAAUUUAAUUUAAUUUUUUUAGAUUUAUUAAAUUUGAAAUUAAUUUUUAUGAAGUUUAGGUUUAUUAGGUGAAAUUUUAAAUUUAAAAUAGUAUUAUUUAAUUUAAAUGAUAUGAGAGAUCUUAAUUUAAAACUAGGAUUAGAUACCCUAUUAUUUGAGAUGUAAAAUUUUAUUCUUAAUUAUUAAUAGUUAUGUUCUUGAAAAUUAAAGAUUUUGGCGGUAUUUUAGUCUAUUCAGAGGAACCUGUUCUAUAAUUGAUAAUCCACGAUUUAAGGUAUUUAUAUUAUUAAUUUGUAUAUCGUCGUAGUUUGAAUAUUUUAUUAGAAUUAUAAUAUUCAAGAUUUUUUAAAAGAAAAUAAAUCAGAUCAAGGUGCAGUUUAUGUAUAAAAAGAAAUGGGUUACAUUAAAUUUAUUUAUGGAAAAUUAAUUUUAAAUUUAAAAAGAAAUUGGAUUUGAUAGUAAUAUUAAUAAUUUAAUUAAUAUGAUUUUAGCUCUAAAAUAUGCACAUAUCGCCCGUCGCUUUCACUAUAAAGUGAAAUAAGUCGUAACAAAGUAGGCUUACUGGAAAGUGAGCCUAGAAAGAU